UGAUAAAAAAAGGACUUUAACCUUUAUUAAAGGGGUUACAACCCUCCACCUAAUUCGGCCAUCUUACC
RNAcentral lists this transfer RNA (68 nucleotides) under Batrachuperus tibetanus (Tibetan mountain salamander). Its description in RNAcentral is "tRNA-Tyr". The record is from RNAcentral. Lineage: Eukaryota; Metazoa; Chordata; Amphibia; Caudata; Hynobiidae.